GACGUAGGAGGCGAGCGUUAUCCGGAUUCAUUGGGCGUAAAGAGCUCGUAGGCGGCUGUUCAAGUCGAACGUGAAAACUCGGAGCUCAACUCCGAGCCUGCGUUCGAGACUGGAUGGCUAGAGUCUGGUAGGGGGAUCUGGAAUUCCUGGUGUAGCGGUGGAAUGCGCAGAUAUCAGGAGGAACACCGGUGGCGAAGGCGGGAUCCUGGGCCAGUACUGACGCUGAGGAGCGAAAGCGUGGGGAGCAAACAGG
RNAcentral lists this ribosomal RNA (253 nucleotides) under uncultured bacterium. RNAcentral describes it as "partial 16S ribosomal RNA". It matches the Rfam family "Bacterial small subunit ribosomal RNA", at positions 524 to 776 of the family's 1533-position model. The record is from RNAcentral.